GCUGUACCUGUGGUAUAUGGAAGUUCCAGUAUAGGGACAGAAUCUGAGCUGCAGCUGUGACCUACACCACAGGUGCAGCAAUGCCAAAUCCUUUUACCCGCUGUGCCAGGGCCAGGGAUGAAACCUGCAACUAUGCAGCCACCCAGGCUGCUGCAUGUUCUUAACCCACCUUAACCUUGCCAAAUUAAAACAAAACAAAACAAAACUUUUUUAAAUUAAAAAAACACAUAAUUAUAGGGGUAAUACUGUGAUAUCACAUCAUCAUCAUGGGUCUCUUCCACAAUCAAGGGAGGAUCUUAUAUAAGGAUGUGCAUCUUUAACGGGUCAUCUUAGAAUGCGUGAAAGGAACAUCAUGAUACCAAGGCACACGCCAAGGCAAGUGAGCUCUUAUCUCAGGGAACAUGGUCCAGACCAGAAAAGGCCGCAGAGAGCAUCUCAGGUAAUACGAAUGUUCACAUGAGAGAGAACAGAAUCCUAGUUAAGAAUAAAUGUUAGAACAGGAUACUUUGACCAAGAAGGACACAGUUAAAAGUAUUCUCUUUCAUAAUAGCUACAGAAAUGUGAACCUUGUUACUUAACAUUACCUGAAAAUGGUUUAGCUGUGUUCUCCUGUGCAAUUGGCUGACCCAGCUGAAGCCUAAGGAUCCUUGGUGAGGCCAACAUAUGAAAUAUGAUGAAUAAAUCAAAGGGUUCAACACAAUUGGCCAUAUCUAAAGGAAAUUCAGGAGUUUUUUUCAAAUACAAAACAAAACAAACAAACAAAAAUCCAACAAAAUAAAUAGCCAAAUGGAGCUUCCUCAGUGUCCUCACUCUGGACUGCAGAGUAAGAGGGUUCUGGUUAUAGGCUCUCUGGGUUUGAGUCCCAACUCUCUAACUUACUAGCCAUUUGACCUUGAGGAAAGUUAUUCAACUUUACUUGCCCCACAUAACUUGGCUAUAAAGGGGAAAACAUCUAUAAAGUUAAUGUGAGAUAUGUAUAUUAUAUAUCUAUAUAUAAAAUUAUACAGACAAAUUAUAUAUUAUUGUUUUGUUUUAUUUUGUUUUUAUUUUUUUUGUUGUUGUUUUUUAGGGCUGCACUGGUGGCACAUGGAGAUUCCCAUCCAAGCCGCGCCUGCGACAUACACCACAGCUCACUGCAACGCCGGAUCUAUAACCCACUGAGCGAGGCCAGGGAUUGAACCCGCAACCUUAUGGUUCCUAGUCGGAUUCAUUUUUGCUGCACCACAACAGGAACUCCGUAUAAAUUAUAUAUUGUAUAAUUUAUAUAUCUCUACAUAAACACACAUACACAUAUAUACCUAUAUAAUUUUAAAUUGCCUGGUUUAGCUAAUAUGCAAUACAAAUCAGUCAUUAUUACUACCAUUACUUGCUCAUAUUUCUCUGAAUACUAUCCAGAACUAAAAUUUGUACGUCCUGGCCCUAUCACAGACAUGUCAAAGCUCCAAUGGUCAUGCCUCUAACACAACACUUCGUAGUUAUUUGCUUGCAUAUUUAUCUAAUCUUCUGGUUGGUAAGUUUUCUUAAGGAGAGAGAGUCAUGCUCAUUGAUGUAUACAUCUAGACCCAUGGCAGACACUUAAAUAUGAGCUGCUUGAAGAUCACAUUUGCCUUGGCAGUAAAUCACUUCCGCAUUAGGAGCUUUCAGUUAUGGCAGACAUUGCCAGCUGUCCAAUUUACAUUUAUGCUUCUUACUAACGGAACCUGGAUUUUGUUUUGGGGAACAGUGUGCCAGCCUCAUUGAUCCAUCAUCCCUUGUGGUAUAUCUCUGUUCAAAAGACGUAGGAAUAAAUACCUGGGCUUUUCCUGUCUGGCAUGGGGAUGUUAGGUGGGAGGUAGAAUAGCCUUUUUGUGGCUUUGGGGCACAAACUAAAAGAGAAAAGACACAAACUAAGGAUGGCAGUGUGGGAGACACAAGGAGUCUGGGGCAUUGAGGACUGAGACUCUGCUGCACUGACAAUGGACAGGGUCCUCCCGUGCUACCUGAAUUGUGAGAAAAAUAAGUGCCUAUUUGGUUAAGCAACAAUGGUGAGAUUUCUGUUAAAUGCAGCCAAGCGCAAGUGUUUAACUGAUAACAUCAGUUUAUUCAGCACCGAAGGGCAAAGAUCACCAAAGAGCUUGCAGAAUAUAGUUAAUCCAUAUUAAUGCCACCCUUCUGCCACUCAGAAUGACAUGUAAUUGGAUAUAGAGCCACUGUACAAGUAACUCGAGUCAGGGUGAGAGGAAGUAAACAAGGAGAAUAAUGCCUAAGGAUAUGCUUAAGCAUAACUUCAAGCAAUGUGGAGCAAUCAUCCAUUGCUGGGCAACAGAGAGAGGUUUCAAUUUAGCAUCUCAUUCUGCAUAUGAUGUGCCAUAUAAUUCAAUCAGCCUGCGAGGGAAUAGGGAACCACAAACAGAAACGUGCAAGUGUGGCCAUGGACCUCACGAAAGCAAUAGAAGAUAGAUUCUACAAAGUGACCAUGCAUGAGCUUUUUUAGGCAAAUAUGCAACACACACCUUUGUGUAUUGUAACAUAUAUUUGUGUGUUUGUAUAUUUACAAAAUAUGUUUAUCAAUGAAAUUCAGAAUAUCAUUACUGUUAAAAAUACAAAGUUGGAACAGACUGCCUGGGUUGAAAUUCCACCUCUGCAGCUGACUAACUAUGGGUCUCAUUUUUCUCAACCACAAAUUGGUCAAAGUAGACUCUACUCACAGGAUUCUUACUAAGGAUGCUGGGAGUUAUUUAAUAUGAAGCACAUAGGAAAGAGGAUAGUGCAAUCAUUGAUGUGUUAGCUAACAUUUUUGCAAUGUCAUAAAAGUAAGCAUGUUCUUAGUUGUUCAUGGGAAAAACAGCGGGUUUAUCACAUCUAUUUCCACACAUCUAUUCCACACAGAUAAAUGGAAAACCCAUUGUCCUGACACAUGUGAUGCUGGUUUACAUACUGCAGAUCCUUAUGAAUUUUAAAAAGGACCAGCAGCAUCAACUACAACAGCUACCACUUACUGAAUAUUUACUGUGUGCAGGGGCUAUGCUUAACACUUCAUUUGCAUUAUCUUGCUUAAUCCUGACAACAUCCAAAGAAUGUAGUAUCAUCACAAGUCCAAAAAAGGAUUAGUAACUUGCCCAUGGGAACAAAACAGGUAGGCAGAGGAACUGGAAUUAGAAUCCAAAUCCAAUUCUCUGUCUCCAGAGCCUGAACUUUUGUUUCGAGGUGCUGUUAUUUUUUAUCUUUUGCACUAGUUAUUAACUUAGAGGACAUGCCACACCUGCCAAAAAUGAAAAAUCCCCAUUUGGAGACUCAAAUAAGUUUCUAUUACUAUAGAAAAAUACCCUUGAGCUAAUUUCUACAAACAAAUCUCUUAUUUGUCAUUCGUUUCUUCUACUUAUAUUCUAGUACAGUAAUGCUGGGGAAAAUAUGAGAAUAAAAGAAUAGCUAGUUUUAAAAUGUAAAAUGUGAUAUACAUCUCAACCAAAUGCUGGAUAAACCACUAUUUUCCCCCAUUCUCGUAAGAGACCAUCGAUUAGUCCAUGAGAGGGUAGAGAAUGAAAUUUACUAAACAUCCCUAGUACAGGCAUGCGCCCCCCACCCCCGCCCCCAGACCCAUCAGUCCUCAGAGCUUCACAGAGUCACCUUGUUUGUUAUCUGCUGAGCAUGCUCUUUAGUAACAGUCAAUUGAAUUGCCUUAAUUGUGCACCUAGUCCAGUGGUACUUAGUCAAAAGGAUGCAAGCUGAAAUCCAUUCCACACUCCACUUGUGAUGGUGGUGUCCUGGGACACAGCUGCAUCAGCCUGGAGAAAGGGUGUGUUUUCUCUAAUCAGCAUUAAGGGACAAUCUCUUCCAAUAAGCACCUUGCACUCAGGACUGGGCCAUCUUUUUCACCACCACCCAAGUACGUGGGGAAAGAGCUAGUACAUACUAGGUGCCAAUGACUCUUUGAUUAAAACAAACAAACAAACAAACAUAAAAACCCUUGAAUGACUAGUAUGCAAAGGAGGAAGGGGAAAUUACCGUUCGCCCUUCUCUACUCCCCUGCACUUUGCACAGUUCAAGGCUGAUGCAACUUCCUAUGAUGUUCUCAACAGAAUAUCUAUGCAAUGGUAUAAAACGGAAGGUCUGGGGCCUCAUGCACAGUUCUAUCCAGAAUGCACAUGCAGACGUGUGCAGCAUAACAAAUAACAAGAUUAGACCCCAUGUGAGCUCUCUUUUGCAUAAUAAAAUCCCACAUGUUAAGAUGCAGAUUUAUUUUAAGCCCUGGAAGUGCUGACCAUAUGCCUCAGUGGCUGAGGAGAUGGCUACUUAAUAGAUAAUCUGCAAUGCAUGCCAAAGAACUAAUCAUGGCCAUCUGAUCAUCACGCCCCAUCAAAAACCAGAAAUGAAGAGCCAGGGAACAGAGCCAGAAACUGCCAACCCAUCUCACAGGCAGGGAGAGGCCAGGAGCCUAAGGGGAAGGGAUGAUAAAAUGAGCAUCUCCUUAUCCUAAUAACAAGAACAAAAUAACCAAAAAUAACAAUAACAUUAAUAACAACAUGGCUCAAUUCUAGUGCGCCUGCUGUGAGGCAUGUGAUCUACUAAACAUGUUACUGCUGCAAUCUUACAUAAGCCCCUCUCCUU
This 4587-nucleotide long non-coding RNA is filed under the name Sus scrofa (pig). RNAcentral's name for it is "lncRNA (ENSSSCG00040045543.1)". Lineage: Eukaryota; Metazoa; Chordata; Mammalia; Artiodactyla; Suidae. The record is from RNAcentral.